CCUACGGGAGGCAGCAGUAGGGAAUAUUGCACAAUGGGGGAAACCCUGAAGCAGCAACGCCGCGUGGGGGAAGAAGGUUUUCGGAUUGUAAACCUCUAUUGGCAGAGAAGAUAAUGACGGUAUCUAACGAAUAAGCACCGGCUAACUACGUGCCAGCAGCCGCGGUAAUACGGAGGGUGCACGCGUUAUACGGAAUUACUGGGCGUAAAGAGAGCGUAGGCGGGAUAGCAAGUCAGAUGUGAAAUCCUAUGGCUUAACCAUGGAACUGCAUUUGAAACUGUUAUUCUAGAGUGUGGGAGAGGUAGGUGGAAUUCUUGGUGUAGGGGUAAAAUCCGUAGAUAUCAAGAGGAAUACUCGUGGCGAAGGCGACCUGCUAGAACAUAACUGACGCUGAUGCGCGAAAGCGUGGGGAGCAAACAGGAUUAGAUACCCGUGUAGUC
Molecule: ribosomal RNA, 440 nt
Filed under: uncultured bacterium
Lineage: Bacteria
Description: partial 16S ribosomal RNA
Rfam family: Bacterial small subunit ribosomal RNA
Source: RNAcentral